Molecule: long non-coding RNA, 5436 nt
Organism: Oncorhynchus keta (chum salmon)
Lineage: Eukaryota; Metazoa; Chordata; Actinopteri; Salmoniformes; Salmonidae
Exons: 2
Source: RefSeq, a predicted model, not a curated record
GGACCACUGUGUUGUAGUCCUGGACACCAGAUUCUACUGGUCAAGGGCUUGAUGAUUAGUCGACAGGUAGGAUCUGGUGUGCUUGUCCGGGGACAUGACAGAAAUAUGUACUGUUGGGGUACCUGAGUGGGGGAACACUGACUUACUGUACAGGUCAUGCAGAAGAGGUUGUUUUCUGUGUGUGUGUGUGUGUGUGUGUGUGUGUGUGUGUGUGUGUGUGUGUGUGUGUGUGUGUGUGUGUGUGUGUGUGUGUGUGUGUGUGUGUGUGUGUGUGUGUGUGUGUGUGUGUGUGUGUGUGUGUGUGUGUGUGUGUGUGUCUUUAUUUGCAUUGUAGAUAGAACAUUGACUGACUGCCGUAGCUGGGAAUGGUCAUUGGGUAUAACCAGAGUAUCCCAAACAGGGUUUCCUAACCAGGGGUACUAGGACUAUCCACAGGGGGUACUGGAGAAGACUCAUGAGACCAUAGGGUUACUGGUCAAAUGCAUGAGGGGGUACUUCAGGGGUACUAGGACUAUCCACAGGGGUACUGGAGAAGACUCAUGAGACCAUAGGGUUACUGGUCAAAUGCACGAGGGGGUACUUCAGGGGUACUAGGACUAUCCACAGGGGGUACUGGAGAAGACUCAUGAGAUCAUAGGGUUACUGGUCAAAUGCAUGAGGGGGUACUUCAGGGGUACUCCGGGCAGAACACAAUUCAGUUGGUGGUAAAGUACCCCAAAAAGGUUGGGAUCCACUAUUCUAAAACACGUGUCAAAUUAAUUCCAUGAAGGGCCGAGUGUCGGGGCUUUCACUCCUCCCUUGUACUUGACUGAUGAAUUAAGGUCCCUGAUUAGUAAGGAACUCCUCUCACAAGGUUGUCUGGGUCUUCAUUGAAAGGAAAAAACCAGACACUAGACCCUCCAUGGAAUGAAUUUGACACCCCUGGUCUAAAUACACACUUCUACCUGACAGUCCAUCCAACUUUGAAUGUAUCACUGUGUGUUCUCCAUUACCCUUUUGAGAUAAUGAUUUAUCAGUAUUUCCUACACACACUACUUAACACUGGUGGUUGGUCUACCAUGCAGGCCUAGCUGGCUCCAGGAAAUGGAUAGCAGAGGGGCUGAUGACCUUCUGUACAGACAACCUAGUUUUCUUUAGUUUCAUUAUCUAUUCAAUAGAAGGGCUUCAGUAUUACAUCACUCACUAGUUUAUCAAGGGAGAGACCGUGAUCUUGCUGCUCGUAUCGACUGCUUCGAGAAAGCCAGUGGGAACAUUGGUGCCAAGAAUCAGUAUUUUUCUGUAUUCUGAGUGACAAUUUGUGCUCUGAGAUAAUCAACUGCUGCUCUGACCUGUCUGUUCACCCUCUCACGCUAACCUUCCAGAACCACUCUGAAAUAUUCUAGACUGAGUACAUAAUGUGGAACUAGAACUGUGAUUGGUUCUGGAACUCAUAGGGCUGCUGCAGAUGGCAGACUCCUGUUAGUGUAUAACAGUGAUGGCUAACAGGACUAUGAUGAAUCUUGGGCCUUUUUGAGGGCUUCAAUGAGAUCAGAAGACUGGUAGUGGUUGGACUGACUGGCUGAGACAGUCCCUCCACUCAGUGUACGGACUCAGGGCUAGCUACAUAGAGCCAGGGAGCUGCUCUGGGAUGUAGUAUGUACAACACUGAUGUUAUUGGCUGUAGAGGUGUAGUUUCCCUAUUGGAUUACUUUACUAACACAGGUGGCAGUACUGGGGCCUGUUCUGGAUGGUUUGACAUAUUUUAUAUACAUACAUACAUACAUACAUACAUACAUACAUACAUACAUACAUACAUACAUACAGUUGAAGUCGGAAGUUUACAUACACUUAGGUUGGAGUCAUUAAUACUUGUUUUUCAACCACUCCACACAUUACUUGUUAGCAAACUAUAGUUUUGGCAAGUCGGUUAGGACAUCUACUCUAAGUCAUUUUUCCAACAAUUGUUCACAGACAGAUUAUUUCACUUAUAAUUCACUGUAUCACAAUUCCAGUGGGUCAGAAGUUUACGUACACUAAGUUGACUGUGCCUUUAAACAGCUUGGAAAAUUCCAGAAGAUGAUGUCAUUGCUUUAGAAGCUUCUGAUAGGCUAAUUGACAUCAUUUGAGUCAAUUGGAGGUGUACAUGUGGAUGUAUUUCAAGGCCUACCUUCAAACUCUGUUCCUCUGCUUGACAUCAUGGGAAAAUCAAAAGAAAUCAGCCAAGACCUCAGAAAAAUAAAUUGUAGACCUCCACAAGUCUGGUUCAUCCUUGGGAGCAAUUUCCAAACGCCUGAAGGUACCACGUUCAUCUGUAUAAACAAUAGUACACAAGUAUAAACACCAUGGGACCAUGCAACCGUCAUACCGCUGAGGAAGUAGACGCGUUCUGUCUCCUAGAGAUGAACUUACUUUGGUGCGAAAAGUGCAAAUCAAUCCCAGAACAACAGCAAAGGACCUUGUGAAGAUGCUGGAGGAAACAGGUACAAAAGUAUCUAAACGAGUCCUAUAUCGACAUAACAUGAAAGGCCACUGCUCCAAAACCGCCAUAGAAAUGCCAGACUACAGUUUGCAACUGCACAUGGGGACAAAGAUUGUACUUUUUGGAGAAAUGUCCUCUGGUCUGAUGAAACAAAAAUAGAAUUGUUUGGCCACAAUGACCAUCGUUAUGUUUGGAGGGAAAAAGGGGGAGGCUUGCAAGCCGAAGAACACUAUCCCAACCGUGAAGCAUGGGGGUGGCAGCAUCAUGUUGUGGGGGUGCUUUGGUGGAGGAGGGACUGGUGCACUUCACAAAAUAGAUGGCAUCAUGAGAGAGGAAUAUUGCGUGAAUGUAUUGAAGCAACAUCUCAAGACAUCAGUCAGGAAGUUACAGCUUGGUCACAAAUGGGUCUUCCAAAUGGACAAUGACCCCAAGCAUACUUCCAAAGUUGUGGCAAAAUGGCUUAAGGACAACAAAGUCAAGGUAUUGGAGUGGCCAUCACAAAAAUUGUGGGCAGAACUGAGAGUGUGUGAGAAAGGAGGCCUAAAAACCUGACUCAGUUACACCAGCUCGGUCAGGAGGAAUGGGCCAAAAUUCACCCAACUUAUUGUGGGAAGUUUGUGGAAGGCUACUCAACGUUUGACCCAAGUUAAACUAUUUAAAGGCAAUGCUACCAAAUACUAAUUGAGUGUAUAUAAACUUCUGACCCGCUGGGAAUGUGAAGAAAGAAAUACAGGCUGAAAUAAAUCAUUCUCUACUAUUAUUCUGACAUUUCACAUUCUUAAAAUAAAGUGGUGAUCCUAACUGACCUAAGACAGGGAAUUUUUACUAGGAUUAAAUGUGAGGAAUUGUGAAAAACUGAGUUUAAAUGUAUUUGGCUAAGGUUUUUUGAUACACUGCAGAUUUUGCAGGUUUUCCUACAUACAAAGCAUGUAGAGGUCUGUCUUUUUUUAUCAUUGGAACACUGCAGCUGUGAGAGACGGAAUCUAAAGCAAAAAUCCAGAAAAUCACAUUGUAUGAUUUUUAAAAUUAGCAUUUUAUUGCAUAACAUAAGUAUUUGAUCACCUACCAACCAGUAAGAAUUCCGGCUCCCACAGACCUGUAGUUUUUCUUUAAGAAGCCCCCCUGUUCUCCACUCAUUACCUGUAUAAGACACCUGUCCACACACCCAAUCAAACAGACCCCAACCUCUCCACAAUUGCCCAGACCAGAGAGGGUGUAAGGACAUCAGGGAUAAAAUUGUAGACCUUCACAAGGCUGGGAUGGGCUACAGGACAAUAGGCAAGCAGCUUGGUGAGAAGGCAACAACUGUUGGCCCAAUUAUUAAAAAAUGGAAGAAGUUCAAGUUGACGGUCAAUCACCCUCGGUCUGUGGCUCCAUGCAAGAUCUCACCUCGUGGGGCAUCAAUGAUCAUGAGGAAGGUGAGGGAUCAGCCCAGAACUACACGGCAGGACCUGGUCAAUGACCUGAAGAGAGCUGGGACCACAGUCUCAAAGAAAAACCAUUAGUAACACACUACGCCGUCGUGGAUUAAAAUCCUGCAGCGCACGCAAGGUCCCUCUGCUCAAGCCAGCGAAUGUCCAGGCCUGUCUGAAGUUUGUCAAUGACCAUCUGGAUGAUCCAGAGGAGGAAUGGGAGAAGGUCAUGUGGUCUGAUGAGACAAAAAUAGAGCUUUUUGGUCUAAACUCCACUCGCCGUGUUUGGAGGAAGAAGAAGAGUACAACCCCAACAACACCAUCCCAACAAGUAAAGCAUGGAGGUGGAAACAUCAUUCUUUGGGGAUGCUUUUCUGCAAAGGGGACAGGACGACUGCACCGUAUUGAGGGGAGGACGGAUGGGGCCAUGUAUCGCUUGAUCUUGGCCAACAACCUCCUUCCCUCAGUAAGAGCAUUGAAGAUGGGUCGUGGCUGGGUCUUCCAGCAUGACAACGACCCGAAACACACAGCCAGGGCAACUAAGGAGUAGCUCCGUAAGAAGAAUCUCAAGGUCCUGGAGUGGCCUAGCCAGUCUCCAGACCUGAACCCAAUAGAAAAUAUUUGGAGGGAGCUGAAAGUCCGUAUUGCCCAGCGACAGCCCCGAAACCUGAAGAAUCUGGAGAAGGUCUGUAUGGAGGUGUGGGCCAAAAUCCCUGCUGCAGUGUGUGCAAACCUGGUCAAGUUCUACAGGAAACGUAUGACCGCUGUAAUUGCAAACAAAGGUUUCUGUACCAAAUAUUAAGUUCUGCUUUUCUGAUGUAUCAAAUACUUAUGCCAUGCAAUAAAAUGCAAACUAAUUACUUAAAAAUCAUACAAUGUGAUUUUCUGGAUUUUUGUUUUAGAUUCCGUCUCUCACUGAAGUGUACCUAUGAUUAAAAAUUACAGACCUCUACAUGCGUUGUAAAUAGGAAACACUGACGAUUUUGCAGGUUAUUAAAUACUUGUUCUCCCCACUGUAUAUAUAUAUGCGCAUGCAAUAAGGCCCGAGGGUGUGUGGUAUAUGUCCAAUGUACUACGACUUAAACACGACGCAACCUGGAGUGCAUGGACACAGUCUUUAGCCGUGGUAUAUUGGCCAUAUACCACAAACCCCCGAGGUGCCUUAUUGCUAUUCUAAACUGGUUACCAAUGUAAUUGGAGCAGUAAAAAUAGCUGUUUUGUCAUACCCGUGGUAUAUGGUCUGAUUCACCACGGCUGUCGGCCAAUCAGCAUUCAAUGCACGAACCACCCAGUUUAUAUUUAUAUAUUAAACCAAUGCUUGUUGUUGUUGAUGCAUAUAUCUGACACUAAAUAAUAUUGUGUGCCUUUUGAAACUUGACAUGUAUGAAUAAUUGUUUGCGCUGCAUUUUUUCCUGGCACAUGCUAGUUCCUUCACUCGUGGAAUCUUGAACCAUUUUGGAGACCAUAGCAGCUAGGAAUUAACAGUCGAUUGUGUCCUUGAACUGUUUGUCUCGUUUAUGUAAGUGGAAUUGCUUUCAUUUGACAAUAAAUUAGUUUUUAAAGGAG